CUACGGGGCGCUCCAGUUAGGUAUAAUCUACAAUGCGCGCAAGCGUGAUAGUUUGAGCCAGAGUGCGUUUCUAUUGAAAUGCUUUUGUGAAAUGUAAAAAGUUUCACGAAUAAGGACUGGGUAAGACAAGUGCCAGCCGCCGCGGUAAUACUUGCGGUCCAAGUCGCAGCCAUUUUUAUUGGGUCUAAAACAUCCGUAGCUUGUUUGAUAAGUUUCUUGUGAAAUAUUAUGUCUUAAACAUAAUGCGUGCAAGAAGUACUGUCAAGCUAGAGACAGGGAGACGGUAAAGAGUACGUUUGAAGUAAUGGUAAAAUAUUUUAAUCACAGACGGACUAACAAUUAGCGAAGGCACUUUACGAGAACUGUUCUGACAGUAAGGGAUGAAGGCUAGGGGCGCAAAAGGGAUUAGAUACCCGGGUAGUC
This 423-nucleotide ribosomal RNA is filed under the name uncultured archaeon. Its description in RNAcentral is "partial 16S ribosomal RNA". It matches the Rfam family "Archaeal small subunit ribosomal RNA", at positions 323 to 746 of the family's 1478-position model. The record is from RNAcentral.